RNAcentral lists this long non-coding RNA (551 nucleotides) under Hordeum vulgare. RNAcentral's name for it is "long non-coding RNA (HVUL_LNC020800)". Lineage: Eukaryota; Viridiplantae; Streptophyta; Magnoliopsida; Poales; Poaceae. The record is from RNAcentral.
UCGAGCACCUGUGGAUCAUCCCAUUCCCCACCCCAAGAAGAUGUGAGUCGAUCGAGCACCUUCCAUUCCAUGGGGGUUGGUUUUGGUUGGUUACUUUUAAACAGAAUCAGAGGAUCCAUGUUUGUAGCCCUGAAAGAAGCUUUUUCUUUCUUUCUUUUGACAGUUAAAAACAGCAGGAGAGGCUCCUACUGGUGUUUCAUUUCCAAAAGUAUGUUACAGGGUAAUUACAAAGCCAUGGCUUGGCAAGAUGUUGGUAGAUUUGAGAUGAUUCCAUCCACAAAUGAGGAUUGUUUAGGGAGGGCUAUUCUCAUUGAGUGUUUACUUUAGCUAGGAUUGAUCUGCCUGUUGAGGUUUUUUUUUUCAUAAAACAAGUCUUUUAUUUAUUUAUUUUGUUUCCAUGUGUCGAGCGAGUAAACAAACACCGUCCAGGAACUAUUCCCCGAAAAAUUUCUCUAGCAUGAUUUCAAAUGCUUGCUUGCUCCCAACAAAUUCCUAUCAGCGGAUAUUAAUUUUUGGAAGCUGUUUGUUAUGGUGCUUCUAUGUGUCCUCCC